AGUACUGUGAAGGAAAGGUGAAAAGGACCCCGGGAGGGGAGUGAAAGAGAACCUGAAACCCUGUGUUUACAAGCUGUCGAAGCACGCAAGUGCAACGGCGUACUUUUUGUAGAACGGUCCGGCGAGUUAUGAUGAGUGGUAAGGUUAAGGACUUAAGGUCCGGAGCCGAAGCGAAAGCGAGUGUUAAAAGCACGGUUGAAUCGCUUAUCAUAGACCCGAAACCGGGUGAUCUAUCCAUGUCCAGGUUGAAGCUGCCGUAAGAGGUAGUGGAGGACCGAACACACAUCCGUUGAAAAGGGUGGUGAUGAGGUGUGGAUAGGGGAGAAAUUCCAAUCGAACCCGGAGAUAGCUGGUUCUCCUCGAAAUAGCUUUAGGGCUAGCCUCUGGUUAGUCUGCCGCAGGUAGAGCACUGAAUUUCCUAGGGGGCGUCAAAGCCUACCGAAGAAUAUCAAACUGCGAAUGGCGGACAGAUGAUGCCAGGGAGUCAGACUGCACGAGAUAAGUUGGGUGGUCAAAAGGGAAAGAGCCCAGACCUACAGCUAAGGUCCCAAAGUGUGUGUUAAGUGGAAAAGGAUGUGGGAUUUCGAAGACAACUAGGAUGUUGGCUCAGAAGCAGCCACACAUUCAAAGAGUGCGUAAUAGCUCACUAGUCGAGAGGUCCUGCGCCGAAAAUGUCCGGGGCUAAAACACAACACCGAAGCUUAGGAAUUCUAAUGAAUUGGUAGAGGAGCAUUGAAGACGGAACGAAGCCAUACCGAAAGGAAUGGUGGACUGUCUUGAAGAGAGAAUGCCGGAAUGAGUAGCGAGAUUGAAGUGAGAAUCUUCAAGGCCGAAUAUCUAAGGUUUCCAGGGUAAAGCUGAUCUGCCCUGGGUAAGUCGGGGCCUAAGGCAAGGUCGAAAGACGUAGUCGAUGGAUAACAGGUUGAAAUUCCUGUACUGCAUCAAAUCAGAAAUGUGGGGACACAUGAGGGAAGCAUGAGCCGGAAAAGGAAAGUCCGGUACAAGCGCAGCAGAGGACAGAUAGGCAAAUCCGUCUGUCAACUCAAGGGCGCGAUGUGGAGCGAACCAAAGUAGCGAAGCAUGUGGAGCUUGUGUCGAGAAAAGCCGCUAUUGUGUUUGAUGUACCCGUACCGUAAACCGACACAGGUGGAUGAGGAGAGAAUCCUAAGGCCGGCGGGAGAAGCAUUGUUAAGGAACUCGGCAAAAUGACCCCGUAACUUCGGGAGAAGGGGUGCUCCAGAGAUGGAGCCGCAGAGAACUGGCCCAAGCAACUGUUUAGCAAAAACACAGGUCUAUGCAAAACCGAAAGGUGAGGUAUAUGGGCUGACGCCUGCCCGGUGCUGGAAGGUUAAGAGGAGAUGUUAGCCGCAAGGUGAAGCAUUGAAUUUAAGCCCCAGUAAACGGCGGCCGUAACUAUAACGGUCCUAAGGUAGCGAAAUUCCUUGUCGGGU
Molecule: ribosomal RNA, 1451 nt
Filed under: human gut metagenome
Description: bacterial LSU rRNA
Rfam family: Bacterial large subunit ribosomal RNA
Source: RNAcentral